Molecule: transfer RNA, 76 nt
Filed under: [Actinomadura] parvosata subsp. kistnae
Lineage: Bacteria; Bacillati; Actinomycetota; Actinomycetes; Streptosporangiales; Streptosporangiaceae
Also listed under: 1 other name
Description: Nonomuraea sp. ATCC 55076 tRNA-Ala
Rfam family: tRNA
About the family: Transfer RNA (tRNA) molecules are approximately 80 nucleotides in length. Their secondary structure includes four short double-helical elements and three loops (D, anti-codon, and T loops). Further hydrogen bonds mediate the characteristic L-shaped molecular structure. tRNAs have two regions of fundamental functional importance: the anti-codon, which is responsible for specific mRNA codon recognition, and the 3' end, to which the tRNAs corresponding amino acid is attached (by aminoacyl-tRNA synthetases). tRNAs cope with the degeneracy of the genetic code in two manners: having more than one tRNA (with a specific anti-codon) for a particular amino acid; and 'wobble' base-pairing, i.e. permitting non-standard base-pairing at the 3rd anti-codon position.
Source: RNAcentral
GGGGCCUUAGCUCAGUUGGCAGAGCGCCUGCUUUGCAAGCAGGAAGUCAGGAGUUCGAAUCUCCUAGGCUCCACCC